Molecule: ribosomal RNA, 456 nt
Filed under: uncultured bacterium
Lineage: Bacteria
Description: bacterial SSU rRNA
Rfam family: Bacterial small subunit ribosomal RNA
Source: RNAcentral
AUGAACGCUGGCGGCGUGGAUAAGGCAUGCAAGUCAAACGAAUUCAAUAGACUUCGCAAGAAGUUUGUAGGAUUAGUGGCAGACGAGUUAGUAACACGUAGGUACCUCCUCUUAAGUCGAGAAUAACUAGUCGAAAGAUUGGCUAAUACUCGAUAGUCUCUUACGAGUAAAGUCGCAAGACGCUUAAGAAAGGGCCUGCGGGCUAUCAGCUAGUUGGUAGGGUAAUGGCCUACCAAGGCGAUGACGGCUAGGGGAGCUGAGAGGCUGACCCCCAACGAUGGAACUGAGACACGGUCCAUACACCUACGGGUGGCUGCAGUCAAGAACCUUCCACAAUGGACGAAAGUCUGAUGGAGCGACGCCGCGUGGUAGAUGAAGUCCCUCUGGGACGUAAAUACCUUUUGUCAGGGAGAAAAUUUUGAUAGUACCUGAAGAAUAAGGGGUUGCUAAACUCGU